Molecule: long non-coding RNA, 448 nt
Filed under: Ananas comosus (pineapple)
Lineage: Eukaryota; Viridiplantae; Streptophyta; Magnoliopsida; Poales; Bromeliaceae
Description: long non-coding RNA (ACOM_LNC040987)
Source: RNAcentral
CAAACAUCCUAUUUGAAAGUGCUCCCCACACAGAAGCUUUUGUUUCUAAAAUCUAAUUCAUUCAUACAUGAAAAUCAUUCAAAAAUCUUUUGAAAACUGUUUCCCACACGGAAACUCUAUUUUAAAAACCGACUACCUCGAGGGGUAGAAAACCACGAUGCGUAAAUCCAUAAAUACAAAUCCGAGAACCACAAGGUAUACAAACAUCCCAAAACUGAAGAUCCAUAAACCAAAUCCAUAAUUCCACAAAUCCACAAAUUCAACCAGCUCACAACAUUCAAACAUCAAGUAUGAUCAUCUAACUGAACCAUAUAAACUAACUAAGCUAUAACAACAGAAUAGUAAGGAUAAAAACUAAAUCGAUAACCUGGGUCGGAAGCUCUAUCGACCGCUACGAACGUACCUCACGUCUCGUCCCAAAACUCAUCGCCUGCAAUACCUGAAAAAU